Molecule: ribosomal RNA, 514 nt
Filed under: uncultured bacterium
Lineage: Bacteria
Description: bacterial SSU rRNA
Rfam family: Bacterial small subunit ribosomal RNA
Source: RNAcentral
GAGUUAUGGCGUCAGGAGUAGAACGCUGGCGGCGUGCCUAACACAUGCAAGUCGAACGGGUUAAGAAGAAAUUUCGGAUGGACUCUUAACUUAGUGGCGGACGGGUGAGUAACGCGUGGAUAACCUGCCUCGCACAGGGGGAGUAGCAGUUGGAAACGACUGAUAAUACCGCAUAAGACAACGACCCCGCAUGAGGUUGUUGUAAAGAUUUAUCGGUGCGAGAUGGAUCCGCGUCUGAUUAGCCAGUUGGCGGGGUAACGGCCCACCAAAGCGACGAUCAGUAGCCGGCCUGAGAGGGUGAACGGCCACAUUGGGACUGAGACACGGCCCAAACUCCUACGGGAGGCAGCAGUGGGGAAUAUUGCACAAUGGGCGCAAGCCUGAUGCAGCCAACGCCGCGUGAGUGAAGAAGUAUUUCGGUAUGUAAAGCUCUAUCGGCAGGGAAGAAAGGCCCUUUAAGGGAGAUGACGGUACCUGACUAAGAAGCCCCGGCUAACUACGUGCCAGCCGCCGC